RNAcentral lists this unclassified non-coding RNA (21 nucleotides) under Dictyostelium discoideum. The record is from RNAcentral. Lineage: Eukaryota; Evosea; Eumycetozoa; Dictyosteliales; Dictyosteliaceae.
AAUACAGAUGGAUCUGUUCGC